This 181-nucleotide non-coding RNA is filed under the name Alkalidesulfovibrio alkalitolerans DSM 16529. RNAcentral describes it as "Desulfovibrio alkalitolerans DSM 16529 6S / SsrS RNA". It matches the Rfam family "6S / SsrS RNA". Rfam says of the family: E. coli 6S RNA was the first non coding RNA to be sequenced, but its function was unknown until recently. It consists of 184 nucleotides that fold into an extended hairpin structure with a large single-stranded internal bulge. The record is from Rfam by way of RNAcentral. Lineage: Bacteria; Pseudomonadati; Thermodesulfobacteriota; Desulfovibrionia; Desulfovibrionales; Desulfovibrionaceae.
UUUUCCCUGGGUGGCGCGUGAUCGCCACUGGAAUUGCUGAGCCAAUGACCAUCGAUUGCGGUGCAGCUUCCAGCGCCGCCCGUGCGCAGGCCCGCCUUGCGGGAAGCCUGACGGCGGCACAGCCGCGCCCCCUCUGAACGUAGGUUCAGAAUACGUGGCGACACGGCUAUCCGGGGUACUU